ACAGAAAGCUUGAGUAACUGCCCCAAAGUCACACUACAGAACCAGAAUCUCAGCCAGGUUCCAGAGGCCUAGCUUUUACUGACCACGAUUAGAUGCCUGAGUGAGCAAGAAAUGCUAAAUUAUCAGGCAACCUGUAAAUAUUUUAAGGGACCGGAACAAAUCUGUCCAAGGAAAACUGCUAAAAUGCAAAAUUUGCUCAGAUGAGGAAAUUCACCAAAUCGCUGGUCCCCCUAGGUUCAUGCAGGUUACAGGUGGCACCCCCGAUCAGCGACAGAAUCAGGUACUCUACAAAGUGGCGCCCAAACAGGGACUUCAAGGACAUGAAGAAGAAGGUCUGCUGGAGCAGAGGAACUGAAAUUGACAAGGUGAACGGGGAUCCCAGGUCUGUAAAAUCGGACGGACUGCCAAUCAGAGAAUGAGAGAUGCCCAGCCUGGCCUUACAUUCUUUCAAUUAAUA
Long non-coding RNA from Homo sapiens (human), 457 nucleotides. RefSeq lists it as uncharacterized. The transcript has 3 exons. NCBI's taxonomy places the organism in Eukaryota, Metazoa, Chordata, Mammalia, Primates, Hominidae. The record is from RefSeq and is a predicted model, not a curated record.